UGGUGGCCAUGUGGAGGAGCUGGGAGAGUGGCACCCCUGGAGAGGGUGUGGAAGCUCCGUUGCCUCCACCGUCUUUUCCGCCUGCUGUUCCUGAGUUUUACAUAGUGUCCUCAGCUGAAGAAAGAGGAAGUCUGGAGUCCAUUUCCGGCAGUUAGCAGGGAGCUGUUUUCCUCUCUCUGACAUUAGCAAGAUUCAGAAGGUAUGAGAUUGGACUUGGAUCUUCUUUUUCUGACAUAUGCAUUUAAUACUAUACAUUUCCCGCUAAGCACCAUUUUUACCGCAUGCCACAAGUUUUGGGUUCACUGAACUGGGACUAUCCUGGUACCUGAAAAGGAUAAACUAGAAUGUGCUCGUGUUGGGGUGGAUAAAUCCUGAAGAAAGCUCACAGUCUGACAAGUUCAACCGCAGUUGCCAAUCUCUGCAGAGCUGCUAAGCAAAGCCCUCUUGAGCUUGGGGAAAGAACUCCUGCCUUGGCCCAGACGAGCCAUGCUCUGCAACUGAUCUUCCCCCAAGCCUUUUAAUGAAGUUUGACACUUGGCAGAGGCGGGGAGCUGAGGCACAUGCUCUGAAUGAGCUCUCAUUCCUAAGAGGUUUUGGCAUCACGGGAGCAUACCUCCUGCCCUGCUCUUCCUCCAGUUGUCCACCUCCACUCUCAGGGCAGGGGCCGGGGAGGCUGCAGUUAGCUCCAUGCCAAGAAGCCACAUCAGGCCACAUCUGGCUGGAGACAUUGGCUGUCAGCACUCAUUGCCAGGGUUCCAGUCCAAGAUGCUCAGUACAAAGUCCCAGGGAUCCUUCCUAGACGAAGCACUCUAAGUUUCUUCUGUAGAGGCAGUGCUGGCUGGGCAGGUGGCAAAGCAAUCGUAUGAUGGACACAAAGUGGCAUAUAUUAUCCAGCCUUCUGGGCAUGACAUGGCAGAUUCAUGAAUUCAUGAAUUCUUUCAUUCAACAAAUGAGGAUGAAGUUCCUGCCACCACCAGAUACGCUUCUACCUGCCUGUGAGGACUGCAGCAGUCAACCGGGUUGAAAGCAGCUCGUAUCCUUAUGGAGCCUGCAUUGCUCUAGGGAGAGACAGCUGAGAAAACAUUACAUUCACGGGAUCAUUA
Molecule: long non-coding RNA, 1103 nt
Filed under: Homo sapiens (human)
Lineage: Eukaryota; Metazoa; Chordata; Mammalia; Primates; Hominidae
Description: HSALNT0388552
Source: RNAcentral